AACGAACGCUGGCGGCAGGCUUAACACAUGCAAGUCGAGCGCCCCGCAAGGGGAGCGGCAGACGGGUGAGUAACACGUGGGGAUCUGCCCAAUGGUACGGAAUAGCUCCGGGAAACUGGAAUUAAUACCGUAUGUGCCCGCAAGGGGAAAGAUUUAUCGCCAUUGGAUGAACCCGCGUCGGAUUAGCUAGUUGGUGUGGUAAAGGCGCACCAAGGCGACGAUCCGUAGCUGGUCUGAGAGGAUGACCAGCCACACUGGGACUGAGACACGGCCCAGACUCCUACGGGAGGCAGCAGUGGGGAAUAUUGGACAAUGGGCGCAAGCCUGAUCCAGCCAUGCCGCGUGAGUGAUGAAGGCCUUAGGGUUGUAAAGCUCUUUCGCCGACGAAGAUAAUGACGGUAGUCGG
RNAcentral lists this ribosomal RNA (406 nucleotides) under uncultured bacterium. RNAcentral describes it as "bacterial SSU rRNA". It matches the Rfam family "Bacterial small subunit ribosomal RNA", at positions 29 to 482 of the family's 1533-position model. The record is from RNAcentral.